Molecule: ribosomal RNA, 253 nt
Filed under: uncultured bacterium
Lineage: Bacteria
Description: partial 16S ribosomal RNA
Rfam family: Bacterial small subunit ribosomal RNA
Source: RNAcentral
UACGGAGGGAGCUAGCGUUGUUCGGAAUUACUGGGCGUAAAGCGCACGUAGGCGGCCAUUCAAGUCAGAGGUGAAAGCCCGGGGCUCAACCCCGGAACUGCCUUUGAAACUAGAUUGCUAGAAUCCUGGAGAGGUUAGUGGAAUUCCGAGUGUAGAGGUGAAAUUCGUAGAUAUUCGGAAGAACACCAGUGGCGAAGGCGACUAACUGGACAGGUAUUGACGCUGAGGUGCGAAAGCGUGGGGAGCAAACAGG